UCUCUCUGCAGGGAUCAUCUAAGGGGCCCAUUGAAUGAAGGCUGCGUUUAUAUUGAAGUGCAUGUGCUAGUACAUGUCUGACAGUCGGCUCUGGCUCCUGCACUUUUGCUUUGCCUCCUUUGAUGUGGACACACCAUGAUGGGCCAUCCUUUGCCAGCUUCUCCCACUCUCACAAUCAACUCCAAAGUUCUUCAGAGAGACCUUGACAGUGUCCUUGUAUCACUUCUUCUGACCUCCAGCAUACUCAGCUUCCCAUUUCCACACUCAUGCCUUUCUCCAUGGAAUCAUUUUAGUUUCACUCCCUACCUUGUCAAGAUGAACAAGCCCAGUACGUGGAAGACAAAAGAAAGUGGGAGCUCUUUCAGCAUGUGAACAAUAUAGCUAAUACUCUAUCAGUC
Molecule: long non-coding RNA, 398 nt
Organism: Antechinus flavipes (yellow-footed antechinus)
Lineage: Eukaryota; Metazoa; Chordata; Mammalia; Dasyuromorphia; Dasyuridae
Exons: 3
Source: RefSeq, a predicted model, not a curated record